Molecule: long non-coding RNA, 2733 nt
Filed under: Mus musculus (house mouse)
Lineage: Eukaryota; Metazoa; Chordata; Mammalia; Rodentia; Muridae
Description: long non-coding RNA chr10:109011682-109014415
Source: RNAcentral
AGCUGCAGCUGCUAGGCAAUGGAGCGAGCGCCCAGGGAGUUUCCAUGCAGCGACCAAUAAGUUUGGAGACUUGGGUCAAGUGCGACCUUGCUAGGCACGCUUUUUCCACCUUCUUGGGCUUGUGCUCGCCCCCCCCCCCCCUGUCUCCGUCUCUCUUCACCCCUUGCCCGCCCGCACGGUGGGGGACUAAAGGGCUUUCUCCCUCCUCUUCCUAGCUGAACCCUUCUGCUCGGAAGUAAGAAGCUUUUCCCUCGUGAGAGCAGCCGUGACCUGAUUGUCUCUAAGCUCCUGGGCAAUUUAUAGCUUGGUAAUACCGAGAGAUGCCAAACAGGGAGGCUGAGAGGCUUGGACGGGAGGGCAGGCUGGCUGGCCCUGGGGUGGAGUCUAGCUCCCAAGGGCAGGAGCCUUUUACUCCACAGGUGAAAUGCUUUCUUGUCACUAACAGAGAUUUUUUUUUUUCUUUCCCACUCGCUUGACCUUGCUCAGUGCCCUCAGAACCUCUUGUUUUGCUUGGAAAUCUUAGCAGUUUUUGUAAAGUUGAUCAAUAGCCACAAAUGAGCACUCCCCUAAUUGGGCUCUUUAUUUUCCUGACAGGAUGAUCCUGGCAUCUCAGGUAAGGAAAUAAAUAGCGAUCGCAAUUCCCCAAACUCAUCCACUUUGAACUGGAGUUUCAUUAACACUGGUGUGCAAAGGUAACUGUAGAGAGAAUUCAAUUAACAGUAACACAUUUCUUCAGGUUUGUAAUUAAAUCUCUUCUAUUUAUAUAAUGUUUAAGAUUAAGAUUCAGAAUAUAUGCCCAAAGGUGGCCACUUUCACAUAAAUGUAUCCUUCUGGGACAUGAACCCUUUUGUUUUGGGCUUUGUUUGCAUUAUCAAGAAUUUAGAAUCAGAGGUAAACUAAGAAAAUAAUACACCUUCAACUUGUAACUUUAUGUAAUAUGCACCUUCGGUUUUCCAAAAAAAGCCCCUAAACCUUAUUUGAAAAUAGUUUCAUAGGUGAGAAGAGGAGAUAACAGACAUUGUAAGUUGAUUUGAAAUGUUUGGCCAAGGAGGGGAGAGGCCUGAAGAGAAGGGGGAGUGGAGUGGGUCAGAGUAAAAGCAGGUAGAAAAACUGAGUAUUUGUCUUUAUUCUCCAAUGAAGAUGAGUGCAUGAGAGAAGCAUUAUAAUAUCCACCUAAUGGAAAUUUUUAUUUUAAAAAUAUACAUUGCUCUCUAUUUAGUUUUUUUCCUAGUUUAAAAGCUACAUAUUUUUCCCAGUUACCAACAGCAACAUGUAGAAAAAAGAAGAACACGUUAAUGAAUGGAAUGGGAAUAUAGAAUUUUUGAAUUUCUGUUCCAAACCCUGGGUCUAUCAUCAUUUUAGGCAAUUUCGUUUUUUCUGUCCACAUCAUAGGCUACCCACAGUGUCCUUCAGUGGAAAGUAUUCUAGGGGACAUGGAUAUGUCAGAACUCCCCCACCCCACCCCUCAGUGUUUCUUGAAGAGGACAGCUGCCUAUAAUAAGAAAUAGGCUUUGGGCAUAUUUCACUGUACUUAAUUUUAGAAUUAGUAGCAUUUUUACUUAUCAAUAUUAAGAAGAUUAUUUAUAUAUACUGACUGGAUACAAAGUAAGAUUUUUUGUUGUUUUGUUUUGUUUUAUUUUUGGGUUUUUUGUUUGUUUGUUUGUUUGUUUUGUUUUGGGACCAAAGUUUUUGAUUCUCCUUUAUAUUUUCAUAUUGUUGUCAGCCAUUUGGGAAUUCAUUCAAGACCUUGCCUGGUCCUAUUUGGUUGGUACAGUAUCAACAUCAUGUUUUUAUAAGUGUGUGUGUGUGCCUGUCUGUCUGUGAAAGAACAUAUGCUUAUGGAGGCCAAGGGAUGACCGGGUUAUUAUCUUCAGGAAAACUUAUUGUCUUUGGGAAUGCCACCUGCCUUCUUUGACAGAGUCUCUUUGAGUUCUGUCUUAGUUGGAGUUUCAUUGUUGUGAAGAAACAUCAUGAUCAAGGCAGCUCUCAUAAAGGAAAACAUCUAAUUGGGGCUGGGCUACAGUUUCAAAGGCUCAGUCCAUUAUCCGGAGCAUGGCACCGUGUAGGCAGAAAUACAUUUUGAUCUGAAGGCAACCAGCAGGAGACUGAUUCUUCCACACUGGGUAGACCUUGAGAACUAGGAGCCCUCAAAGCCCACCUAUGCAGUGACACACUUCUUCCAACAAGGCCAUACCUAUUCCAACAAGGCCACACCUCCUCAUAGUGCCACUUCCCAUGGGCCAAGCAUAUUCAAAUCACCACAAAUUGAAACUCAGCAAUUAAGUUCUACUGGCUGGCCACUGAGCCUCACAGACCUUCUGCCUCUCUCUUCCCAGUGCUAAAAUUACAAGUGCAUGUAGCAUUACACUUGGCUAUUACAUGGGAGCUAAGGACUGAACUCAGCUCCUCACACUUGUAAGAACUUGACUGAGCAUCUUCUUAGUCCCAAGAUAUAUUCUUAUUGAAGACACUAUGUAUGAAUUCUCAUCUUCACAUCACACCGUUGUUUGUUAAAAAGAAAGUUCAAUAAAUUUGACUCGUUCUUUUUCACUUUUACUAGCCUGCUUAUAGCUACUUUCCUACUUAGGAUUCCUAUCUCUUUUACCAUCAACCCAACUCCUUUCCUGAGUAUAUGGUAUUGAUUCGUUCCUUAAUCACUUGUUAUUUUCAGACCUGUGUUCUCCUUUGAAUGUUUUGCUUCUAUGCAUAAACAAAGCCCUACUUUUAUUAACU